Molecule: ribosomal RNA, 306 nt
Filed under: uncultured bacterium
Lineage: Bacteria
Description: partial 16S ribosomal RNA
Rfam family: Bacterial small subunit ribosomal RNA
Source: RNAcentral
GACAGCAGUAGCCGCGGGAAUACGAAGGGUGCAAGCGUUACUCGGAAUUACUGGGCGUAAAGCGUGCGUAGGUGGUGGUUUAAGUCCGUUGUGAAAGCCCUGGGCUCAACCUGGGAAUUGCAGUGGAUACUGGGUCACUAGAGUGUGGUAGAGGAUAGUGGAAUUUCCGGUGUAGCAGUGAAAUGCGUAGAGAUCGGAAGGAACAUCUGUGGCGAAGGCGACUAUCUGGGCCAACACUGACACUGAGGCACGAAAGCGUGGGGAGCAAACAGGAUUAGAUACCCGGGUAGUCCCUGUCUCUUAUAC